Small nuclear RNA from Tupaia belangeri (northern tree shrew), 168 nucleotides. Its record names the gene U4. It matches the Rfam family "U4 spliceosomal RNA". Rfam says of the family: U4 small nuclear RNA (U4 snRNA) is a component of the major U2-dependent spliceosome. Lineage: Eukaryota; Metazoa; Chordata; Mammalia; Scandentia; Tupaiidae. The record is from Ensembl.
AGCUUUGCGCAGUGGCAGUAUCGUAGCCAAUGAGGUUUAUCCGAGGCGCGAUUAUUGCUCAUUGAAAAACCACAUGUCCUUACACCCGUUUCCUUUUUGUUGACUUCACUUACACGCACGAUUCAUUAAAAAAAGACUGCAAACAAUUUUAUCAAUUUUUUUUAAUAG